RNAcentral lists this ribosomal RNA (873 nucleotides) under Pseudorhizina sphaerospora. RNAcentral describes it as "Gyromitra sphaerospora partial 28S ribosomal RNA". It matches the Rfam family "Eukaryotic large subunit ribosomal RNA", at positions 75 to 960 of the family's 3401-position model. The record is from RNAcentral. Lineage: Eukaryota; Fungi; Ascomycota; Pezizomycetes; Pezizales; Discinaceae.
UUGCCUCAGUAACGGCGAGUGAAGCGGCAACAGCUCAAAUUUUAAAGCUGGCGUCUUCGGCGCACGCGUUGUAAUUUGGAGAGGCAUCUUCGGUUCGGGCGCCAGCCUAUGUUCCUUGGAACAGGACGUCACAGAGGGUGAGAAUCCCGUGCCUGGCUGGCUGUCCCGACCCAUGUGAAGCGCCUUCGACGAGUCGAGUUGUUUGGGAAUGCAGCUCAAAAUGGGUGGUAAAUUUCAUCUAAAGCUAAAUAUUGGCGGGAGACCGAUAGCGCACAAGUAGAGUGAUCGAAAGAUGAAAAGCACUUUGAAAAUAGAGUUAAAAAGUACGUGAAAUUGUUGAAAGGGAAGCGCUUGAGACCAGACUCGGCUGGGGAUGAUCAGCGGCCCUUCUGGGCCGUGCACUUGUCCCCGGUCGGGCCAGCAUCGGUUGAGGCGGCGGGAUAAAGGCCCGGGGAAUGUGGCUCCUCUCGGGGAGUGUUAUAGCCCCGGGCGCAAUGCCGCCAGCCUCGACCGAGGGCCGCGCACUUUGUGCUAGGAUGCUGGCGUAAUGGUCUUCAGCGACCCGUCUUGAAACACGGACCAAGGAGUCUAACAUCUAUGCGAGUGUUUGGGUGUCAAACCCUUGCGCGGAAUGAAAGUGAACGGAGGUGGGAACCCCUCGCGGGGCGCACCAUCGACCGGUCCUGAUGUCUUCGGAUGGAUCUGAGUAGGAGCAUAGCUGUUGGGACCCGAAAGAUGGUGAACUAUGCCUGAAUAGGGUGAAGCCAGAGGAAACUCUGGUGGAGGCUCGCAGCGGUUCUGACGUGCAAAUCGAUCGUCAAAUUUGGGUAUAGGGGCGAAAGACUAAUCGAACCAUCUAGUAGCUGGUUCCUG